This 253-nucleotide ribosomal RNA is filed under the name uncultured bacterium. RNAcentral describes it as "partial 16S ribosomal RNA". It matches the Rfam family "Bacterial small subunit ribosomal RNA", at positions 524 to 776 of the family's 1533-position model. The record is from RNAcentral.
GACGUAGGGGGCCAGCGUUGUUCGGAAUUAUUGGGCGUAAAGAGCUCGUAGGCGGUUUGUCGCGUCUGCCGUGAAAGUCCGGGGCUCAACUCCGGAUCUGCGGUGGGUACGGGCAGACUAGAGUGAUGUAGGGGAGACUGGAAUUCCUGGUGUAGCGGUGAAAUGCGCAGAUAUCAGGAGGAACACCGAUGGCGAAGGCGGGUCUCUGGGCCGUAACUGACGCUGAGGAGCGAAAGCAUGGGGAGCGAACGGG